This 24-nucleotide non-coding RNA is filed under the name Rattus norvegicus (Norway rat). Lineage: Eukaryota; Metazoa; Chordata; Mammalia; Rodentia; Muridae. The record is from RNAcentral.
GCUUUAAGGAAGGCUUGGGUUUAC